UCUUAUGUGGAAAUGUCUACUCCUCAUUCAUUUGGGGCCAGGAAUAUAUCCACAGCUUACUGUACUAAAAAAUACUAAUAAGAGAGUGUUCACAGGGGUACCAACCUUACAGUCAAGGUUAAGUAGUAGUAGAUUUCUUUCUUUUUUA
Molecule: small nucleolar RNA, 148 nt
Filed under: Erinaceus europaeus (western European hedgehog)
Lineage: Eukaryota; Metazoa; Chordata; Mammalia; Eulipotyphla; Erinaceidae
Description: Small nucleolar RNA U109
Rfam family: Small nucleolar RNA U109
Source: Rfam by way of RNAcentral